RNAcentral lists this ribosomal RNA (450 nucleotides) under uncultured bacterium. RNAcentral's name for it is "partial 16S ribosomal RNA". It matches the Rfam family "Bacterial small subunit ribosomal RNA", at positions 354 to 796 of the family's 1533-position model. The record is from RNAcentral.
GUGGGGAAUAUUGGACAAUGGGCGAAAGCCUGAUCCAGCCAUGCCGCGUGUGUGAAGAAGGUCUUCGGAUUGUAAAGCACUUUAAGUUGGGAGGAAGGGCAGUAAGUUAAUACCUUGCUGUUUUGACGUUACCGACAGAAUAAGCACCGGCUAACUUCGUGCCAGCAGCCGCGGUAAUACGAAGGGUGCAAGCGUUAAUCGGAAUUACUGGGCGUAAAGAGCGCGUAGGUGGUUUUGUAAGUUGGAGGUGAAAUCCCCGGGCUCAACCUGGGAACUGCCUCCAAAACUGCAGGACUAGAGUACGGUAGAGGGUAGUGGAAUGUCCUGUGUAGCGGUGAAAUGCGUAGAUAUAGGAAGGAACACCAGUGGCGAAGGCGACUACCUGGACUGAUACUGACACUGAGGUGCGAAAGCGUGGGGAGCAAACAGGAUUAGAAACCCGUGUAGUCC